Peromyscus maniculatus bairdii (prairie deer mouse) is the source of this 1321-nucleotide non-coding RNA. The record is from RefSeq and is a predicted model, not a curated record. Lineage: Eukaryota; Metazoa; Chordata; Mammalia; Rodentia; Cricetidae.
CGUGCGCACGGGAUGCGCGCGUGUGCACGAGCGCAAGCGUGAGUGGGGGAGGUGGGGGAGGUGGCCUAUCUCUAUGAACUUGGGGUGUAUUGGGCGUGCAGUGUUUAAUCUUGCACCCACCUGAGUAAGUGCCCGGUGGCUGUGCUUUCUCUAGAGCGGGCAGUAGAUGUGAGUAGACCCAGCAAAGCUAUCCUCUCCUGGGCUCACAGUAAAGAGUCCGGAGUCCCCGGGCUUGCUCAGAGAUUUUUCCAGCGAGCAGCACCGGGAAAACACCCACCAGCACAACCAGGGCAGGGUGGGAUGUCUCCAUUUGAGGAUCAGUUAAGACACCUGAGUGAUCUGCGGAAGCUGAGUUCAUUAUCGCCUUGCUCAGCGUGCAAACCGAGCUGAAUGGCUUCUCACUGACCCAACUUGCUAGUGAAUGCAUUCUUUUGUUAUCUGUUUCAAAACAACACGAGGAGGUCUGGAUGUGCCUGCCUUCAAGGAAUCUGGCAGCAAGAGGGUGGUGGAUGUUAAACCCCGCCAUCCUUCAGGGUGGGUUACUUGAGGUAGCAGGAGGUCAUCUUCACUCUAGUAGGUUGAGGUGAGGCAAGUUGUUGUUGUUGGUGGGUUAAGAGCAAGUUAGACUUAAUUCUGGUGGUGUUGUCAUUAGACAAUAUGGAAGGCACUUCUCUUCUGAAGGGUAGCGUCGAACCAGUGGCCUUGCGCAAGCUCUACCACCCAGCUACAACCCAGCCACCUUUUCUUUUCAGACAAGUUAUUUAACCUCCUUCAGCCUUAAUUUCUUCACCUACUGGGCUACUGCUGUCUUUCCUGUACCUCCGUGGUGGGUUACACGGGAUCAUGUCUGUAAACAGUUUGAGUCCUGAUACCUGCCAAAUACUAGUUACAGGGAGCGGUCGGCGUCCCAGGCGAAGCCUAACCAGCUGAAGUCCUAUCUCAGCUUGCACAGAGGUGUCACUCCCGUGGGACAAGUGAUGAGGAGCGAUACUGUUUCUUUCCUUUCUUCUUCUCCUUCCGACCUUUCUUCCCACUUCACAGAAUUGGCAUUGCUUUCUGAUUCUUAUUUUAAACACGGUAUAUAUAUAUAUAUACGUUAUAUAUACAUAUAUAUAUAUGAGAGAGAGAGAGGCAGUAAACAAAAGCAGAGUGGAUAUGCAGUCUCACAGUCAGGUGAGUGUACCCACCACAAACCUUUCCUAAAUCUAAAAUUUUUUUCCCAAACAAGCAAAAAUGGAUGUGUUAUAUUCAAUUUGGUGCUCAUUAAACAAAGAAGCAGUUCUUUAAGGGAGAAAGAGAGAGAGAGAGAGAGAGAGAGAGA